This 100-nucleotide signal recognition particle RNA is filed under the name Selenomonadales bacterium. RNAcentral describes it as "signal recognition particle sRNA small type". It matches the Rfam family "Bacterial small signal recognition particle RNA". From Rfam's summary of the family: The signal recognition particle (SRP) is a universally conserved ribonucleoprotein involved in the co-translational targeting of proteins to membranes. Archaeal SRP consists of a 7S RNA and homologues of the eukaryotic SRP19 and SRP54 proteins. Lineage: Bacteria; Bacillati; Bacillota; Negativicutes; Selenomonadales. The record is from RNAcentral.
AGAUGGGUCUCGCGCAAAGGGGACCCGUGAACCUCGUCAGGUCCGGAAGGAAGCAGCGAUAAGCGGUCAUCUUCUUGUGCCGCGAGGGUGCCUGUUUCUC